CCUACGGGUGGCAGCAGUGGGGAAUAUUGGACAAUGGGCGAAAGCCUGAUCCAGCCAUGCCGCGUGUGUGAAGAAGGCCUUCGGGUUGUAAAGCACUUUCAGUGGGGAAGAAAGCCUUGGGGCUAAUACCCUCGAGGAAGGACAUCACCCACAGAAGAAGCACCGGCUCAACUCCGUGCCAGCAGCCGCGGUAAUACGGAGGGUGCGAGCGUUAAUCGGAAUUACUGGGCGUAAAGCGCGCGUAGGCGGUCUGAUAAGCCGGUUGUGAAAGCCCCGGGCUCAACCUGGGAACGGCAUCCGGAACUGUCAGGCUAGAGUGCAGGAGAGGAAGGUAGAAUUCCCGGUGUAGCGGUGAAAUGCGUAGAGAUCGGGAGGAAUACCAGUGGCGAAGGCGGCCUUCUGGACUGACACUGACGCUGAGGUGCGAAAGCGUGGGUAGCAAACAGGAUUAGAUACCCCAGUAGUC
This 466-nucleotide ribosomal RNA is filed under the name Vreelandella stevensii. RNAcentral describes it as "partial 16S ribosomal RNA". It matches the Rfam family "Bacterial small subunit ribosomal RNA", at positions 338 to 795 of the family's 1533-position model. Lineage: Bacteria; Pseudomonadati; Pseudomonadota; Gammaproteobacteria; Oceanospirillales; Halomonadaceae. The record is from RNAcentral.